Molecule: ribosomal RNA, 274 nt
Filed under: uncultured bacterium
Lineage: Bacteria
Description: partial 16S ribosomal RNA
Rfam family: Bacterial small subunit ribosomal RNA
Source: RNAcentral
AUACGGAGGGUGCAAGCGUUACUCGGAAUCACUGGGCGUAAAGCGCGCGCAGGCGGUCUUUUAAGUUGGAUGUGAAAGCCUACGGCUCAACCGUAGAACUGCAUCCAAAACUAUUAGACUAGAGUGUGGGAGAGGAAGAUGGAAUUAGUAGUGUAGGGGUAAAAUCCGUAGAGAUAACUAGGAAUACCAAAAGCGAAGGCAAUCUUCUGGAACACUACUGACGCUGAGGCGCGAAAGCGUGGGGAGCAAACAGGAUUAGAAACCCUAGUAGUCC